Molecule: ribosomal RNA, 253 nt
Filed under: uncultured bacterium
Lineage: Bacteria
Description: partial 16S ribosomal RNA
Rfam family: Bacterial small subunit ribosomal RNA
Source: RNAcentral
UACAGAGGGUGCAAGCGUUAAUCGGAAUUACUGGGCGUAAAGCGUGCGUAGUCGGUUAUCUAAGUCGGAUGUGAAAUCCCCGGGCUCAACCUGGGAAUUGCAUUCGAUACUGGAUAGCUAGAGUUCGGCAGAGGGAAGUGGAAUUUCGGGUGUAGCGGUGAAAUGCGUAGAUAUCCGAAGGAACAUCAGUGGCGAAAGCGACUUCCUGGACCAGAACUGACGAUCAGGCACGAAAGCGUGGGGAGCAGACAGG